RNAcentral lists this transfer RNA (52 nucleotides) under Metacrangonyx repens. RNAcentral describes it as "transfer RAN Valine". The record is from RNAcentral. Lineage: Eukaryota; Metazoa; Arthropoda; Malacostraca; Amphipoda; Metacrangonyctidae.
AAAAAUGAUUAUGUUAUUACUUACAAUAAUAAAUACCAAUAUGGCAUUUUUA